RNAcentral lists this ribosomal RNA (459 nucleotides) under uncultured bacterium. RNAcentral's name for it is "partial 16S ribosomal RNA". It matches the Rfam family "Bacterial small subunit ribosomal RNA", at positions 338 to 795 of the family's 1533-position model. The record is from RNAcentral.
CCUACGGGGGCUGCAGUGAGGAAUAUUGGUCAAUGUGCGUAAGCCUGAACCAGCCAAGUCGCGUGAGGGAUGAAGGUUCUAUGGAUCGUAAACCUCUUUUAUAAGGGAAUAAAGUGUGGGACGUGUCCUAUUUUGUAUGUACCUUAUGAAUAAGGAACGGCUAACUCCGUGCCAGCAGACGCGGUAAUACGGAGGAUCCGAGCGUUAUCCGGAUUUAUUGGGUUUAAAGGGUGCGUAGGGGGCCUUUUAAGUCAGCGGUGAAAGUCUGUGGCUCAACCAUAGAAUUGCAGUUGAAACUGGGGGGCUUGAGUAUGGUUGAGGCAGGCGGAAUGAGUGGUGUAGCGGUGAAAUGCUUAGAUAUCACGCAGAACCCCGAUUGCGAAGGCAGCCUGCCAGGCCAUGACUGACGCUGAUGCACGAAAGCGUGGGGAUCAAACAGGAUUAGAUACCCGUGUAGUC